This 308-nucleotide long non-coding RNA is filed under the name Rattus norvegicus (Norway rat). RNAcentral describes it as "long non-coding RNA NONRATT002520". The record is from RNAcentral. Lineage: Eukaryota; Metazoa; Chordata; Mammalia; Rodentia; Muridae.
CUGGAAAUGCGUCCAGGCCGGGGUCACCUACCUCUUUGUGCAGCUAUGUAAGAUGUUGUUCUUGGCCACUUUCUUCCCCACCUGGGAAGGGGGCAUCUAUGACUUCAUUGGGGACCUUUGUCCAUCUCUGCUCCUUGGGUAGUUGGACAGCGCUGCUGGCCCGGGCAGUGGUGACAGGAUUGCUGGCCCUCAGCACCUUGGCCCUGUAUGUUGCUGUUGUCAAUGUACACUCCUAGUUUGGCAUCCCAGGGGUUGGCGUACCUUUUCAUUGCCUCUCUCCAGAUUUUAGUGAAGUAAACAGUGUUUGG